GCACAUCUGGGACUGCAUUAGACACCGACAGCAGGUAGUAGACUGGUACCCCAUCCUGUGGAACAAUCUUCAUGUUCCAAGAUACUCCUUCAUGCUUUGGCUUGGGUUUCUAGGAAAGCUUCAAACAAAUGACAUCACAAGAGCUCUGGAAGAAUUUUCAACUGUCCCUUAUGUAACAAUCAUCCGGAAACUUUCUCUCAUCUCUUUUUCAAAUGUGAAUACUCUACCAUCGUUAUCAAAGCUGC
RNAcentral lists this long non-coding RNA (245 nucleotides) under Panax ginseng (ginseng). RNAcentral describes it as "long non-coding RNA (PGIN_LNC016376)". The record is from RNAcentral. Lineage: Eukaryota; Viridiplantae; Streptophyta; Magnoliopsida; Apiales; Araliaceae.